GGAGCUAUGACUCAGUUGGCAGAGUACUUGCCUAGCAUUCAUGAAGCCCUGGGUUUGAUUCCUAGCACCA
Molecule: non-coding RNA, 70 nt
Organism: Cricetulus griseus (Chinese hamster)
Lineage: Eukaryota; Metazoa; Chordata; Mammalia; Rodentia; Cricetidae
Source: Rfam